CAAGUCGAACGCGAAAGCCUCCUUCGGGGGGCAAGUAGAGUGGCGCACGGGUGAGUAACACGUAGGUAAUCUACCUUUGGAUUGGGAAUAACCACCGGAAACGGUGGCUAAUACCGAAUAAUGCAGCGGCACCUAAUGGUGACAGUUGUUAAAGCGGGGGAUCGCAAGACCUCGCGUCUGAAGAGGAGCCUGCGGCAGAUUAGCUAGUUGGUAAGGUAACGGCUUACCAAGGCGAUGAUCUGUAGCCGGCCUGAGAGGGCGGUCGGCCACACUGACACUGACAUACGGGUCAGACUCCUACGGGAGGCAGCAGUCGGGAAUUUUGGGCAAUGGGCGAAAGCCUGACCCAGCAACGCCGCGUGAAGGAUGAAAUCCUUCGGGAUGUAAACUUCGCAAGAACGGGAAGAAUAAGUAAGGGUUAAUAUCUCUUACGAUGACGGUACUGUUUGUAAGCUCCGGCUAACUCCGUGCCAGCAGCCGCGGUAAUACGGGGGGAGCAAGCGUUGUUCGGAUUUACUGGGCGUAAAGGGCGCGUAGGCGGCCACCGCAAGUCGACUGUGAAAUCUCCGGGCUUAACCCGGAAAGGUCAGCCGAUACUGCGGGGCUAGAGUGCAGAAGGGGCAACUGGAAUUCUCGGUGUAGCGGUGAAAUGCGUAGAUAUCGAGAGGAACACCUGCGGCGAAGGCGGGUUGCUGGGCUGACACUGACGCUGAGGCGCGAAAGCUAGGGGAGCGAACGGGAUUAGAUACCCCGGUAGUCCUAGCCUUAAACGAUGAAUGCUUGGUGUCUGGGGUUUUAUAGUCCCCGGGUGCCGUCGCUAACGCUUUAA
This 829-nucleotide ribosomal RNA is filed under the name uncultured Actinomycetes bacterium. Its description in RNAcentral is "bacterial SSU rRNA". It matches the Rfam family "Bacterial small subunit ribosomal RNA", at positions 58 to 863 of the family's 1533-position model. Lineage: Bacteria; Bacillati; Actinomycetota; Actinomycetes. The record is from RNAcentral.